AGAUUGAACGCUGGCGGCAUGCCUUACACAUGCAAGUCGAACGGCAGCACGGGAGCAAUCCUGGUGGCGAGUGGCGAACGGGUGAGUAAUAUAUCGGAACGUGCCCAGUCGUGGGGGAUAACGUAGAGAAAUUUACGCUAAUACCGCAUACGAUCCACGGAUGAAAGCGGGGGACUUCGCAAGAAGCCUCGCGCGACUGGAGCGGCUGAUAUCAGAUUAGCUUGUUGGUGAGGUAAAAGCUCACCAAGGCGACGAUCUGUAGCUGGUUUGAGAGAACGACCAGCCACACUGGGACUGAGACACGGCCCAGACUCCGUACGGGAGGCAGCAGGUGGGUAAUUUUGGAACAAGUGGGCGAAAGCCGUGACUCCGAGCAAGUGACCGCGUGACGAGGAAGAACGGCCAAGUUCGGGUUAGUAAACUGUCUUUUUACGGAACGGAACGUAAAA
This 449-nucleotide ribosomal RNA is filed under the name uncultured soil bacterium. RNAcentral's name for it is "bacterial SSU rRNA". It matches the Rfam family "Bacterial small subunit ribosomal RNA", at positions 26 to 456 of the family's 1533-position model. The record is from RNAcentral.